This is a long non-coding RNA of Pomacea canaliculata, 240 nucleotides long. RefSeq lists it as uncharacterized. The transcript has 3 exons. The record is from RefSeq and is a predicted model, not a curated record. Lineage: Eukaryota; Metazoa; Mollusca; Gastropoda; Architaenioglossa; Ampullariidae.
AGGUAUAUAUUCGGUCCUGCCAUCUACUAGACUCAUACCACAACUCAAGCACUCUCAGACUCGCUGACCUUCUUCGAGUUCAAACGAUCAGUUUGCAGACUUACCUGCAGAAUACAUCAUGUUGGUUAUCGUCUUUCUUGGUCUCCUGGCUGUUGCGCUCAGCUCUCCUGACAACUACGCUGCUCGAAUGUUUGAAUAUUUGGACGACAACAAGGAUGGGGUUGUUGGGUUCAGUGAAUG